CUCAAGGAAGCGCUUUGUCUACGUGCACAGAAAACGCUUCCUUGAGGGCCCGCUUUCUAUCUACGUAGGCAAAGCGCUUCCUUGAGG
Gossypium arboreum is the source of this 87-nucleotide non-coding RNA. The record is from Rfam. NCBI's taxonomy places the organism in Eukaryota, Viridiplantae, Streptophyta, Magnoliopsida, Malvales, Malvaceae.